CCUGAUGAACCAAACUACUCAGUAAUCUCCUCCAUGAAGACUGGGGAUCAGCCUGAUGAACCAAACUACUCAGUAAUCUCCUCCAUGAAGACUGGAGGUCAGCCUGAUGAACCAAACUACUCAGUAAUCUCCUCCAUGAAGACUGGGGAUCAGCCUGAUGAACCAAACUACUCAGUAAUCUCCUCCAUGAAGACUGGGGAUCAGCCUGAUGAACCAAACUACUCAGUAAUCUCCUCCAUGAAGACUGGAGGUCAGCCUGAUGAACCAAACUACUCAGUAAUCUCCUCCAUGAAGACUGGAGGUCAGCCUGAUGAACCAAACUACUCAGUAAUCUCCUCCAUGAAGACUGGAGGUCAGCCUGAUGAACCAAACUACUCAGUAAUCUCCUCCAUGAAGACUGGGGGUCAGCCUGAUGAACCAAACUACUCAGUAAUCUCCUCCAUGAAGACUGGAGGUCAGCCUGAUGAACCAAACUACUCAGUAAUCUCCUCCAUG
RNAcentral lists this long non-coding RNA (495 nucleotides) under Salmo salar (Atlantic salmon). Its description in RNAcentral is "lncRNA (ENSSSAG00000110349.1)". The record is from RNAcentral. Lineage: Eukaryota; Metazoa; Chordata; Actinopteri; Salmoniformes; Salmonidae.